RNAcentral lists this ribosomal RNA (2162 nucleotides) under Hoferellus gnathonemi. Its description in RNAcentral is "bacterial SSU rRNA". It matches the Rfam family "Eukaryotic small subunit ribosomal RNA". The record is from RNAcentral. Lineage: Eukaryota; Metazoa; Cnidaria; Myxozoa; Bivalvulida; Myxobilatidae.
ACCUGGUUGAUCCUGCCAGUCGCGUAGGCUCGUCUUAAAGACUAAGCCAUGCAUGUCCUAGUUCAUACCUGUUAUGGUGAGACUGCGGAAGGCUCAGUACAUCAGUUAUAAUCUAUUUGAUCCUAUUACCCAUUGGAUAACCGUGGGAAAUCUAGAGCUAAUACAUGCAGAUUUGGGUGGCCUAACCAGCCGCCCAGGGCAUUUAUCAGACCGAUACCAACCAAGGCGUGGUGGGAGGUGCGGCACCGAGAGGACCGUAACUGCUGUGGCGCCUUGAGGCGAAUCUAGAUAACUUGGCUGAUCGUAUGGCCUAGAGCCGGCGACGUUUCAAUUGAAUUUCUGCCCUAUCAACUUGUUGGUAAGGUAGUGGCUUACCAAGGUUACCACGGGUAACGGGGAAUUCGGGUUCGAUUCCGGAGAGGGAGCCUGAGAGAUGGCUACCACAUCCAAGGGAGGCAGCAGGCGCGCAAAUUACCCAAUCCAGACACUGGGAGGUGGUGACGAGAAAUACUAGGUGGUUUCCGUAAGGAAGCCAUACUGGAAUGGACGUAGUUUAAGCAACUCGAUGAGUAACAACUGGAGGGCAAGUCUGGUGCCAGCAGCCGCGGUAAUUCCAGCUCCAGUAGCCUACGCUAAAGUUGCUGCGUUUAAAACGCUCGUAGUCGGAUUACGCAGCGUGAACCGGUGGGCCGACGUGUAGGCACAGUAAAGCCAUUUGACUCGAAGCGGCUCGGUGUAACCUUGUCGAACUAGGGUUUGAGUGGAGUGCCGAGCGACGGUGAACAGCCGGCUCACGCUUCUUGUACGUGUGGACGUGGGUUGACCUUGAGUGCGUCGACGCUCGUGUCUCACGAAAUGUGCCUCGAGCAAAUCAGAGUGCUUAAAGCAGGCCGUAGCGCUUGUAUGUGAAUAGCAUGGAACGAACAACUGUGACAAUGGCGCUGCGGGGCGCCACGUGCACAGGCCUCUGUCUGUGUGUGUGGUGUCGCGUGGCGUAUCACCAACCGCCAAUCACGGAUGUUGGUUUCCGUAUUGGGGUGAUGAUCAACAGGAGCGGUUAGGGGCAUUGGUAUUAUGCCGCGAGAGGUGAAAUUCUUUGACCGGCAUGAGACUAACAAAUGCGAAGGCAUUUGCCAGGACCGUUUCCGUUGAUCAAGAACGAAAGCGAGGGGUUCGAAGACGAUCAGAUACCGUCCUAGUCCUCGCCGUAAACUAUGCCGACCCGGGAUCAGUCCUGAGCCAUUUUGACGCUCGCGGUUGGUCCCCCUGGGAAACCUCAAGUUUUUGGGUUACGGGGGGAGUAUGGUCACAAGGCUGAAACUUAAAGGAAUUGACGGAAGGGCACCACCAGGGGUGGAGCCUGCGGCUUAAUUUGACUCAACACGGGAAAACUUACCUGGUCCGGACAUCGAGAGGAUAGACAGACUGAUAGAUCUUUCUUGAUACGGUGGUUGGUGGUGCAUGGCCGUUCUUAGUUCGUGGAGUGAUCUGUCAGGUUUAUUCCGGUAACGGACGAGACCAUAAUCUCCAUUUAGGGAGUGGGAGAAGAGCGCGGCGGUGGUGUGCGCACUCGUGGCGCGCGCCGCUUGACCGCGUUCGCAGGCCGUGCCCGGACGGCGCUGUCUCACACGGCCCACGACUACAGAGGACUUUCGUCCGAUGUGGAGCGUGGUCGAGGGGCAGUGUUCGCACGAGUUCGCCCUCCUACCUGAUGGCGUGCGUUGCGAAACUCGCGCUAUGCUAUGGAGAGACAACCAAACAUAACACCCAAAAUUGGCGGAAGCAUUUGGCGAUAACAGGUCUGUGAUGCCCUUAGACGUCCAGGGCCGCACGCGCGCUACAAUGAUAGCAACAGUGAGAAUCUGGGUCGAAAGACUUGGGUAAUCUUGCCAAUUGCUAUCGUGAUGGGGAUAGAUCGUUGUAACUGUCGGUCUUGAAAGAGGAAUCCCUAGUAAACAUAGUUCAUUAGACUAUGUUGAUUAAGUCCCUGCCCUUUGUACACACCGCCCGUCGCUACUACCGAGUGAAUCGUGUCAUGAUGCCUUGGGACUGGACGUGGUCUGGGCAUGUAUGCCUGUGACGACGCUAGGAUCAAUGCAGAAUGGUGCAAUUUCGAGGAAGUAAAAGUCGUAACAAGGUUUCCGUAGGUGAACCAGCGGAAG